UUUUAGAGAGUGCUGAUGAAAAUGUGGGUCACAGGACCCAAAAUGUUUGGGUCCUGUGACCCCUCCCAGGUCUUGGGUCUUCGUCUGGGUUUAAUCAGAGCUUUCAAAUAAUGUGCAAACAGGUCAUUUAUGUGAAUCGCCCGGUUGUCAUGUAAGGAAAAACAGUUGAUGGUACUAUGCUGUUAAAUACAAAACACUGGCGUAGCUUCGGUCUGGGAGGAGUCCAGAAUGAGCCAAGCAAAAGAAGGUUCUCCUAUGAUGCAGGAUUUCAAAGUAACAUUACCAUUGAUAUUGAAGCUAUGAAAAUGAUCAUUGUUCUAAAAGAAAUCAUCUUCAAGCUGCGACAGGUAAGGG
Parasteatoda tepidariorum (common house spider) is the source of this 354-nucleotide non-coding RNA. The record is from RefSeq and is a predicted model, not a curated record. NCBI's taxonomy places the organism in Eukaryota, Metazoa, Arthropoda, Arachnida, Araneae, Theridiidae.